UACGGGGGGGUAAGCGUUGUUCGGAAUUAUUGGGCGUAAAGGGCGCGUAGGCGGCCAUGCGUGUCUUCCGUGAAAUCCCUCGGCUUAACCGAGGACGUGCGGAAGAAACUGCAAGGCUCGAGUCCGGAAGAGGGGGGCGGAAUUCCCAGUGUAGCGGUGAAAUGCGUAGAUAUUGGGAGGAACACCAGUGGCGAAGGCGGCCCCCUGGGCCGGAACUGACGCUGAUGCGCGAAAGCGUGGGUAGCAAACGGG
This 252-nucleotide ribosomal RNA is filed under the name uncultured bacterium. RNAcentral's name for it is "partial 16S ribosomal RNA". It matches the Rfam family "Bacterial small subunit ribosomal RNA", at positions 524 to 776 of the family's 1533-position model. The record is from RNAcentral.